GUACACUCCUGCGGGAGGCAGCAGUGAGGAAUAUUGGACAAUGGGUGGAAGCCUGAUCCAGCCAUCCCGCGUGCAGGAAGACGGCCCUAUGGGUUGUAAACUGCUUUUAUCUGGGGAUAAACCUACUUACGUGUAAGUAGCUGAAGGUACCAGAAGAAUAAGCACCGGCUAACUCCGUGCCAGCAGCCGCGGUAAUACGGAGGGUGCAAGCGUUAUCCGGAUUUAUUGGGUUUAAAGGGUCCGUAGGCGGACUGAUAAGUCAGUGGUGAAAUCCGACAGCUUAACUGUCGAACUGCCAUUGAUACUGUUAGUCUUGAGUAAGGUUGAAGUGGCUGGAAUAAGUAGUGUAGCGGUGAAAUGCAUAGAUAUUACUUAGAACACCAAUUGCGAAGGCAGGUCACUAAGUCUUAACUGACGCUGAUGGACGAAAGCGUGGGGAGCGAACAGGAUUAGAAACCCGUGUAGUCCC
This 469-nucleotide ribosomal RNA is filed under the name uncultured organism. RNAcentral describes it as "partial 16S ribosomal RNA". It matches the Rfam family "Bacterial small subunit ribosomal RNA", at positions 331 to 797 of the family's 1533-position model. The record is from RNAcentral.